RNAcentral lists this long non-coding RNA (276 nucleotides) under Capsella grandiflora. Its description in RNAcentral is "long non-coding RNA (CGRA_LNC000120)". Lineage: Eukaryota; Viridiplantae; Streptophyta; Magnoliopsida; Brassicales; Brassicaceae. The record is from RNAcentral.
UACCAGAAAUAAAUCUCAAUGAGCUUCCUGAGGUUCCUGUCACUGACCUCACUGAGGCUCCUGUCACUGAGCUCACUGAGGUUCCUGUCACUGACCUCACUGAGGCUCCUGUCACUGAGCUUCCUGAGGUUCCUGUCACUGAGCUCACUGAGAUUCCAGUCACUGAGCUCACUGAGCUUCCUGAGAAGGUCCCAUCCUCUCUCUUUUAUGUCCUUAUGGGACACUUUCUCCAAUAUAUAUAUAUGAUUUGAGGACAUAACCUUUUCUAUUUCUUCU